CGGAUCGGAGUCUGCAACCCGACUCCGUGAAGCUGGAUUCGCUAGUAAUCGCGCAUCAGCCACGGCGCGGUGAAUACGUUCCCGGGCCUUGUACACACCGCCCGUCAAGCCAUGGAAGCCGGGGGUGCCUGAAGUGCGCUGCCGCAAGGAGCGUCCUAGGGUAAAACCGGUGACUGGGGCUAAGUCGUAACAAGGUACC
This 199-nucleotide ribosomal RNA is filed under the name uncultured bacterium. RNAcentral describes it as "partial 16S ribosomal RNA". It matches the Rfam family "Bacterial small subunit ribosomal RNA", at positions 1294 to 1500 of the family's 1533-position model. The record is from RNAcentral.